UAUGGGGAUUCGCGAACUCCCCACGAGGCGCCAGCUAAAGAUCGCGUUCCAAUACAAACCUGAAAAGGAGGAACGC
This 76-nucleotide non-coding RNA is filed under the name Thalassospira lucentensis. RNAcentral's name for it is "chrB-a RNA". It matches the Rfam family "chrB-a RNA", at positions 5 to 74 of the family's 80-position model. Lineage: Bacteria; Pseudomonadati; Pseudomonadota; Alphaproteobacteria; Rhodospirillales; Thalassospiraceae. The record is from RNAcentral.